RNAcentral lists this ribosomal RNA (497 nucleotides) under uncultured bacterium. RNAcentral describes it as "partial 16S ribosomal RNA". It matches the Rfam family "Bacterial small subunit ribosomal RNA", at positions 28 to 507 of the family's 1533-position model. The record is from RNAcentral.
GAUGAACGCUGGCGGCGUGCCUAAUACAUGCAAGUCGAGCGAACAGACGAGGAGCUUGCUCCUCUGACGUUAGCGGCGGACGGGUGAGUAACACGUGGAUAACCUACCUAUAAGACUGGUAUAACUUCGGGAAACCGGAGCUAAUACCGGAUAAUAUAUUGAACCGCAUGGUUCAAUAGUGAAAGACGGUUUUGCUGUCACUUAUAGAUGGAUCCGCGCCGCAUUAGCUAGUUGGUAAGGUAACGGCUUACCAAGGCGACGAUGCGUAGCCGACCUGAGAGGGUGAUCGGCCACACUGGAACUGAGACACGGUCCAGACUCCUACGGGAGGCAGAAGUAGGGAAUCUUCCGCAAUGGGCGAAAGCCUGACGGAGCAACGCCGCGUGAGUGAUGAAGGUCUUCGGAUCGUAAAACUCUGUUAUUAGGGAAGAACAAAUGUGUAAGUAACUAUGCACGUCUUGACGGUACCUAAUCAGAAAGCCACGGCUAACUACGUG